CCUACGGGAGGCAGCAGUGAGGAAUAUUGGUCAAUGGCCGGAAGGCUGAACCAGCCAAGCCGCGUGAAGGACGAAGGUGCCAAGCAUUGUAAACUUCUUUUGUCAAGGGACAAAAUCAGGCUCGAGAGCCUGACCGAGGGUACUUGAAGAACAAGCAUCGGCUAACUCCGUGCCAGCAGCCGCGGUAAUACGGAGGAGGCGGGCGUUAUCGGGAUUUAUUGGGGUAAAGGGGUGGGUGGGCGGGCGGUUAAGUCAGCGGUAAAACCCCGGGGCUCAACCCCGGCGAGCCGUUGAAACUGGCUGUCUUGAGAUGUCGAGAGGUAUGCGGAAUGCGCGGUGUAGCGGUGAAAUGCGUAGAUAUUGCGCAGAACUCCGAUGGCGAAGGCAGCAUACCGGCGGCGAUCUGACGCUGAGGCACGAAAGCGUGGGUAUCGAACAGGAUUAGAUACCCCUGUAGUC
This 459-nucleotide ribosomal RNA is filed under the name uncultured bacterium. RNAcentral's name for it is "partial 16S ribosomal RNA". It matches the Rfam family "Bacterial small subunit ribosomal RNA", at positions 338 to 795 of the family's 1533-position model. The record is from RNAcentral.